AUGGGGGCGGAAGUCGCGGAGGUUGAACUCCCAGGCGGCGAUGUACCCGCCGUGGCUGUCGUAGAGCGCGACGCCCACCUGCAGCGGCUUCAGGUCGUCGACAUUGGCCUUCACGAGGGCGUAGCGCUCCUCCACGGUGAGGGCGUUGUGGUCCUUGCCGGGGUGGUGGACGACGCCCGGGUAGUGCACGUCGACGGCGACGUACUGGGCUCUCCUGGCGACGUGGCAGAGGUUGGCCGAUUCAUGCUUGAAGUUGGAUGCCCACACGGAGCGCACAGGGACUGGCCACGAUGCCCAUACCGGCGACAUGGGUGCAUGGUAGAAGUACGGCGGGGGCUGCACCGGGAACGUAUGGUGGAAAGGUGGCGGCGGCGGCGGCGGAAACACUGGGAACAUACCGGCGGCCGGGUUCAUGCUGAUCGAUGCCUCUGA
This 432-nucleotide ribosomal RNA is filed under the name Triticum aestivum (bread wheat). RNAcentral's name for it is "partial small subunit ribosomal RNA". Lineage: Eukaryota; Viridiplantae; Streptophyta; Magnoliopsida; Poales; Poaceae. The record is from RNAcentral.